Molecule: ribosomal RNA, 280 nt
Filed under: uncultured prokaryote
Description: partial 16S ribosomal RNA
Rfam family: Archaeal small subunit ribosomal RNA
Source: RNAcentral
GUGCCAGCAGCCGCGGUAAUACCGGCAGCCCGAGUGAUGGCCGAUCUUAUUGGGCCUAAAGCGUCCGUAGCUGGCCGCACAAGUCCAUCGGAAAAUCCACCCGCCCAACGGGUGGGCGUCCGGUGGAAACUGUGUGGCUUGGGACCGGAAGGCGCGACGGGUACGUCCGGGGUAGGAGUGAAAUCCUGUAAUCCUGGACGGACCGCCGAUGGCGAAAGCACGUCGCGAGGACGGAUCCGACAGUGAGGGACGAAAGCCAGGGUCUCGAACCGGAUUAGAA